CCACAUAACCUUGCCCACCAUACACUUCCGACAACCCAACUUAACCCAAUUGUUGUUUGAGCUUUUUCGAGUUGUGGCUUGUGUCUCCUAAGGUGUUUAGGCUACUAAGGGUGGCAACUUCAACUUUGACACAUGUAUAGCCCGUCAUCCCACCUCCGCAUUGCCAAGUGCACACCACCACCACUCUCCGCUACCACCAUUUUGACAUUUGACGUUUGAGAUUUUGAGUUCGCGGUUUUUCCGUUUCCUAAGGUGUUUCGGCUACUUAGAGACGAGACUCCAUUAUCUUGGUUUCUACAUCAAGAACACCGCCACUCAUCAUCGCCAAGGACGGUAACCUCCAUAUCAUCUUGGUAUCGUGGUAUACCUCCAUUGUAUAUUCCCCUUGCCAUUGCAUUGUUAACCCCUAGCCCAUUUUGCGUUACUUGCCUAUCGAGACUAGCCAUUUGAGUAUUGCCGGCAACAUUACUUGUGCACAUUAAUGAUCAUACUUCCCAUAGCAUACAUACCAUAUCAUCGUGGUGCAUAUAUUGCUAUCAUAUCUUGUGUUACAAGUUUGUUCCCCAAUGUACACAAUUGCUAUCUUGGUUUGUGCAUUGUGCAAAGUGGCCAUACAAAAAAAAGAAAAAGAAAAACAAAUAAGCUUUUAAGCAAAGAAAAAGAAAGAGAGCAAAAAGCUUGUAAGCAAGUGCCAUAGCAUUAUACCACAUUGCAUAUAAGAUUGUCAUAUCCGAUCAUCUUGGAUCAUCUUGAGAGAAACACCGGGAACCAUACAUACAUAACAUACUUGGGAUAGAAAGUUUAUCCAUUUUGCAUCUUAUAGGUUGUGCACAAGUGUCGUAUCCGCCAAUAGAGCAAUUGUGCUAGCGUCUCUCUUGAGUUGUGCAACACGAGCGUUUUCCGUGGAUUCCACAUUUUGUGCUCAUUCCUUCAUUACACGACCCCAUUUAUCUAUCCGUGUGUGUGUUUCCGUGUACCAUUCUUUGCUAUUGGUCCAUUUGUUUCACUUGCGAAUUUGUGAAUCUCUUUCAACAUUAUUGACUCUUGCUAACAUUUUGCAUUAAAUUUUUGUGCCACUAUCCUCACCGAGCUCCUCCAUAAGCUUUACUUGUGUAGGUGUGAGAACCGACAAGGAUUGGUACCAAUCGUGCUAUUUCAUUGUCCACAUUUGAGUGAACUUGAUUCAUUGUCAACAUCGGUCAAGGUACAUUGGUAUAAGUUCUUCUCUUUCUCCCACUCAUAUUUGCUCGAGUCUUGUGAUGGAUAGGCAAGGCAUUUCAUCUCCGGUCUAUGACAACAACGAUGGCGUGAACAACUACAUCAACAAAGCGUCCAUCUUCGAUCUACAACGACAAAUACAAGGCGCACAAUCAAGAUUGCGAGAGCGCAUCGAGAACAUCUCCAUCGACAUUCUUCACUCCGAAGCAAGGAAAAGGGACUACAUCAACAAGAAGCUUUCCGCACCUAAAGAGGAGCAAGAUGCAAGGAUGGAGGAGAUUAGAGCCUUGAUCAAGUCUUCUUCCCCUUCGUCAUCUUCAAGGAGGCGACAUUCAAGACACAAGUCUUCGGAGCGCGAAAGCAAUGCAAGUGCAAAUCGUCCUCGUCCACAUCUACAUGGCGACCACCAUCACGUUCAUGAUCAACAUCGCCAUGAGGGGCAAGUCACCUCCAAGCAUCAUGUGCACGACGACGACGAACAACAUAUACUACGAGCUCAAGCACGACAACGACAUCAUCAUCAUGAAGAUGCUCCACAAGCGCAAGUGCACAAGUCCCAACAAGCCCUACUUCACGCCAAGUCGAAGCUUCAUGAGCAAAAGAGAAGACCGCGGGACGAGCACCACCAAGACGGAGCUACGGCUACCACCACCACUUCGGCAUCUUCGCCCAAGUGCUAUCAAGGCAUCUUCGCCUUUGGACAUACGACAUCUUCGCCUACUUCCAAUGAGUACACCUACAUCAACUUCAUCUAGUCCAAGGCGACCACCUACGAGCGAGGGCGACACUUCCAUCUUUGGAAGCCCCCCAAGGAGGAUGGCCGAGCAUGGGAAAUUCCCUUCGGUCAUGGAGACGAGCUACGAGGUGCCACAUCAUAUGGACCUCCAACACCAAGACGACGAUAAGAAGGUCGAGCAAGGGCCAUCCCCUUUGACCACGGCGACGAGCGCGAACCUCUUAAACAACAUGAAGACGGUGCCCAUAUUGGACUCAUACUCCGAGUCAAGCUACGCGACCGCAUAUGGAGACAUUUGCACCUACACCUCUCCGACACCCACAUAUGUCGAGAUGCCCAAUUUGUCAUGUGAGGAGAGCCACCACCCCAUGAGUGACAUGAGUGACUCCACCAUACGUGACAUUGAGAGCAUUUCCUAUGAGAGGAUGAGUGUGACCACCACUAGCCCCACACAUGAGAGCAUGCCACACAUCCUAUGUGAGGUUGAGCGCCAUUUGACUGACUCCACCAACCAUAUGAGUGAGAGCACCCUUGAGGGAGUGAGUGAGCCACAACACUUACUGAGUGAGGUAGUUGACACGGCAUGUGAGGCCACUAUGAUUUCUAACGACUUAACCUCUACUCCUAGUGUGUUUUCUUCUUUGGUGCUAGGUGUCCUACAUGACGACAUGCCUACCCUCGACGAGUCCAUCCCUCCAAUGGAGACACCGAUGGCCAUGGUGGACGAUGAUGCACCCUCCACAUGGUUCCAUCAAGAUGAAGAGGACAACGAAUGGAUCUUCGACACCUCACCUACAACACAUGAGUGAUGCCCCAAAGGUAACAUAGGUGAUGGUGCUUAUCUUGUCCCACUAGUGGACUCUCUUGACAAUGAUUGCUCCCAUGAUGUUGACCCACCUAUUACCAUGCUUCAUGCUAGUGAAACUUCUUCAUGCCUUGACUUACCUAUUUAUGAUGAAUAUGAUGAUGAGCAUGUUGAGUUGCCUAGUUGUGAUGCUAUGCUCCAUAGGAUAUCAUGUGAAAAUUCUUUUGGUCACAUCAUGUUUGACAACCCAUUGAACUUGUCAUAUGCUAUGAGUGAGAUCUCCCAUAUUGCAUCAUUUCAAUCUCAACAUAGUAACUAUGCAUGCCCCAUUAAAAUCAAUCCUAUUUGCACUUAUGGCAUAGAUGACGAGAUGAUGGUCAUGGGCUUUUGGUUUUCAUGUGAUGAUAUUGCCAUGCUUCCUUUACAUGAUUUGCGCAAUUCAUCUACUAUUCCAUGCCAUGAUCACAUUGUUCCAAAUAUGCAUUGUUUUGGAUGUUGUCAAUAUUCUCCAUGUGAUGUUUCCAUUAAUGCUCAUGAGGAGACCCCCAUAGUUUCCUCAUACAUAUUAGGAGAUCUUGAUGCAUUUCAUACUUUGCAUGAUUCCCAUGAUUGUGUACACCAUAUGCAUUCCAUGAACAACAAUGCUGUAGAUAUUUCUCAUGAUGCAUUACACAAUUUGAGUCUCCAUUAUGCGAUACAUAAUAACAAACCUCUCAUGAUGGAUGACAUGUUUCUAUAUCACGCUAACCAACACAAGCAUGUGCGCAUCAUGAUGGAUGAUGUGUACAUAUACCAUGCACACGCAAUUUUCCCUUUGUCUUUAUUUUGUGUAGGUACUCACAUAUACUCGUCAACCUCUCAAUCCCAAGAGUUGACGAAACGAGCUCUUGAGAGCAACGAUGACUUGGGAUCCCGUGGACUAUCCUUACCACCGUUCCCUUCGCGCAAGGACUACGGGCAUCUCUUCUACUUGGCUCUCACACGGCUAUGGGCUAUCUACCACUUGUCACCUAAUGCCCAUACUAUCUUGUUCACUUUGCAUGUUAUGCCUCUUUACUUGACUUUGCCAUGCAAUUGUGACCCUUGCUUGCAUUUACCCAUGAUGCACCAUUAUGAUAUUCCUAUAUGUAUUUGCAUGCUUGGCGGAGAUCCUUGUUGCUUUUUCCAUGUUUAUCAUGUGCCUCAUGCUAUUGUUGAUUCUUGUGUUGGGAGAGUCAUGAUGUUACAUUGCUAUUUACAAACUACUUGUUGCCAACACCAUGAACCUACGUUCCUCAUAUCUUGCUUUCAUGCUUGUGCUAUGACAUGUGAAUUAUUCAUGCACACUAUUUGCACCAAUGACAUGCUUGCCAUGAUUCUUCCUAGUAUGUUGCAUCUUCGCACUACUAGCUUGCUUGACUUGAUUACUAUGAUUGCUUGCUUGGUUGCAUCACCCAUGUUCCACUCUUACUCACUUUCUUGGGUUGAUGACAUAUAUGUUCAUGCCUCUCGCAUGAUAUAUCUUGAUCAUUGUCUCUUGUGUCCAUUAGUUGCCUCUCUCAUAUCCACUUGUAUUGAGUGCAACCAUACUAUGCUUAUUGAUCUUGGAGACUUGGACACUAUACUUGUGAUCCAUGCUUGUUUGAUUGAGCCUAUUGUACUUAGUUGUUCUUACAUCAUAUGCCUCCAUACUUUGAAAUGCUCCCUUGUACUUUCUUAUGAUGAGCAUGAUGCAUACACUUGUUGGGUAUCUUACCUCACGAAUGAUAGGUGUUGCAUUUGCACUAAUCUCAUUUGUUUUUCCGAGUGUUUGUCAUGUUCUUUCAUUUUGAAGGAUUCACAAGGCAUUACCGUCAUGAGACAUAUUGGUUAUGUGAAGGCAUACACGAUGUGCGACACCAACAUUUUCGACAUUCUCAUAAAGGUGAACUCCUUCCCUUUGAGCCAUCCUCAAAUACGCAUAUUGGAUGGGUCACUCUUUCAUUGUUGUUUCCUUCUUGUUGUCUACAUGACACAUCUCGCGGACGGAGGAGCGACAUUGGGGAUUGGCUCUAUGGACCUUUACAUUGAGGAGCGCUUGGACUUGGAUGCACCUUCGGACUUCCACUCAUGCCACGACAUUGAGCAUUGGUACAUCAACACUCCUUUGACACAUUGCACUCACACAUCCAUAUUUGUUGAUUGUGCUCAUACAUGUCAUGCUCGAUGGACAUAUCAUACUCACCACAAGUUUGCACCCUAUGCAUGGAUUGACUCACAUUAUGUUUGCCUUGUUGCAUCUUGUAUUGUGCCCACUAUCAAUUGCAUGAUAACAUAUACAUAUUGAGCAUCCAUUGCCAUGUGUAUGCUUUUGAUGCGCCAUCCCAUUAUGACAUCAUUUUGCACAAUGAUCACAUUCAUCAUAUUCACAACACCUUUGUGCAUGCCUCGAAUGAAUUUGCUCACAUGAAUGCUUUACAUCUCAUUCUACAUCUUUUGGAUAAGCAUCUUGUGCCUUGCCACGCACUAUCUUGCCGCACAGACUCAUUCUUACAUGAUGGACACUUUGUGUGUGGUAACCAUUGUAUUUCCGAGUGUCGCUUGUGUUUGCUCUUUUGCAUGUCUAUCACUCCGGAGACACCUUGGAGUAGUUGGAUUGCGCAACGCCUUCAUCUACGUCCGACUACAAGUCUGUCCACGACAACCAUUUCCAUGGUGAUGAGGAUCACGAUCCGAGGUCGGAUCUUUCCCAAGGGGGGGGGGAGAUGAUGCGGAGCAUCCCACGUUCAUCCUCAUGUACACUCCAACUACUCCCCAAGCCCCAAGGAUACAUAAGAUGAGACCUCGACUAUGCGCCAUUGGACACAAGGUGAACCCAUUCCUAAAUGCUUCCCCUUUCCAUUCGCAUGAGACAUGGUUGCUACUUCAAGCGCGGACUUUGUGCAUACUCAGGUACACCCGAGGAAACCAUGGAGAACCCAAGGAACAAGGCCAAGCGUGUGCAGAAGCAUGGAAGAGGAGAAGGAAGAAGAGCCAGCUGCUAUAGGCCCCGGACAUCCGGCCACAGCCCGGACAUUCGGCCAGGCCCGGACAUCUGGCCCAACCACCGGAAAUCCAGCCUCCAUCACGGAAUGCAUCUGGAGGCGACCCCGACAGCCCAGACAUCCAGUCCCGUGCCCCGAACAUCCGGCUCCUCCCGAAGCCCCGAACAUCCGGCCCUCCUCGCCGGAAAUCCGGCCCCUGGUAUCCAGAGAGAAACCGCAGGGCACCCAGGCCAGCCUGGACAUCCAGCCUCCCCACCCGGACAUCCGGCCCGUCGCGAAGCCCCGGACAUCCGGCCCCCCAUCCCGGACAUUCGGCGCCUGUCUGCGCACAGAGAACGGGCCAAGGGCCCAUGUAUCCCCCUCUCACUUAACCCUUAGUGGGCUAGCACUAUAUACACUCCCCCACCUCCUCCUAGUUAGGGUUAUCGUUGAUUUAGCUCUUUUGUGAGAUAGAGCCUCGCUCAUCCAUCGGAUCUCCUCCUCGUGAGAGACCGCAGCCUCUUCGGAGAAGAUCCACUUGGAUUCAUGACCCCUUUACGGGAAGAUCCCCUUGUGGAUUCAAGACCUCCUCUCGGAGAAGAACGGCUACCUUUGUAUCCUUCCUUUGUUGAUUUUGAAUCUUGUGCUACCUCAUGCGUUCGGUGAUCUAGCCCUUGUGUGAUCGAUACUUGUCGGUUUAGUGAUCCUCUUGUUUCUCCCCAUGUUUCCCCUUGUGUUUUCUGCGUGUUCUUCGUGUUUUCCCGUAGGAUCCACUCUAAAUGUGAAAGAUCGGCCCCUAGGGUUCCGCCCUACAUCACUUUGUGUGGAAGAUGUGGCAUCUUUGGUCUUCUUCUUAUUGAUGUUGAAGAGUCAAGACCUUGGAGACAACAAGAGCGGGUCUCGUAUCUUCAUCACAAAAGACUUGAUCAUCUUCAUCCUUGUUCACGCGCCGGUGCAUGGCCACUUUCUCAAGAGCUUCCAUUUCAUCUUCACUCAUUGAGUCGUAGGUGCCAUCGUCGUUGAGGAUCAUGGUGCGCUUGUUUGUGCAUUCAUAGGACUUGUGGCCUCGGCCGCCGCACGUGAAACACUUGAAGGAGCUUGUCUUGACGGUCUCAUCGAUCGGAGUAGAUGAAGAAGCACGCGGCUUGAAGUUGCUUGUAGGAGGAGGAAGACGACUUGAACUUGCCGGAGUUUUCUUGUAACUUGACUUCUCGUCGUUGCUUAGAUAAGGCUUGGUUGAUGUCGAAGUUGGAGUAGUUGUUGAAGCUUGGUUAUUGGAGAAGCCGUAGGUCUUGGAUGAGUACUUGGCGUAUUUUAAGUCAUCUUGCACUUGACGUUCCGCCUUUGUAGCUUGAUGCACGAGCUCAAUGAGGUUGGAGUAAGGUUGGAAGUCGGCGAUCUUCUUGAUGGGAUGAUUGAGUCCAUUCAAGAAUCGUGCCAUUGUUUGCUCAUCAUCCUCCAUGACAUUGGCUUGAAUCAUGGCAAUCUCCAUUUCCUUGCAGUAUUCUUCAACACUCUUUAUUCCUUGCUUGAGGUGUUGUAGCUUCUUGAAGAGAUCGCGGUUGUAGUAUGUGGGCACCAAACGUGCUCGCAUGACAUCCUUCAUUUGAGCCCAAGUGGUGAUUGGAGGUUCACCUCUUGCUUGUCGGUGCUCAAGGACUUGUUCCCACCAUAUGAGCACAUAGUCUUGGAACUCAAGUGAUGCCAUAGCGAUCUUCUUCUCUUCCUCAUAGUUGUGCAAACGAAAGAUUUUGUCGACCUUCAAUGCCCAUGAGAGGUACUCUUCAGGAUCAUUGCUUCCAUUGAACUUGGGCAUUGUGAAUUUGAGCUUGCCAUAGCGUUGCUCUUCAUUGUGUUGUUGGCGAUGGUGAUGAUGACGCCCUUGACGUGGAGGGUACUCAUCCUCAUGUUGCUCUUGGCAUGGAUGAAGUCCAUGAUCAACUUGCUCUUGUUGAACUUGAGGUUGAGGUGGAGCUUGACGUUGUACGCGUGGAUGGUAGUUCCUCUCUUGGAUUUCUUUUCUAAGGGCUUCCUCUUGAUUGCACCGUUCGCGAUUGCGGUUGGCGAUGGCUCGACUUGAUUCUUGAAGGGCACGUUCUGCCUCAAGAGCUUGUGCUUCUCGUUGUUGUUGUUGAAGACGUUGAGCCUCGGCGUCUUGUUGCUCUUGGUGUAGACGCGCUCGUUCUUCCUCUUGGCGCCGUAGUCGUUGUCAUUCUUGAGCUUGAGCAAAAGCGACUUGGUUUGAUUGAGGAUGAGGUACUUGCUCAUCGGCUUGCUCUUGUCAAUGCUUGACGUGUAGCAGGUUGCGAGAUGCAUGACAGUCUUAACGCGCGGCUCGUCGAAGAGUGUUCGAAGGUGGUGUACUUGAGCCAGAGAAGGAAUUGUCGGAGUGUCGACUUGAGUGGCUCCAUCUUGAGUAUGAUGAUGUAGAAGGAGGCCGGUUCACCAACAAGGCACGGAUCUCGUCCAUUCUUGCAUCGUUCUCUUGCUUGUGCGCGUCGAGCUUGUUGUCUAAGUAGUCGCCUGUACGUUGCUCGGAGAGUCACAAGUCGGUGGCGAGGUUGUCGAUGCGGUUAUUCAUUGAUUGUUGCUCUUGAUGCAACGCUCGUUGUGCACCAAAGAGGUGGCUCUUGGUGACGUAUGAUGACAUGUCGUCGUCUUGCUCGAUGAAGAGUGGAUUGGUAGAAGUACUUGGCCUAUCCAUCAUUUCAAGCAAAAUGUGAGUGGUAGAAGGAGAAGAACUUAUACCAAUGUACCUUUGACCGAUGUUGAUGAUGAAUCAAGUUCACUCAAAUGCGGACAAUGAAAUAGCACUAUCGGUACCAAUUCUUGUCGGUUCUCACACCUACACAAGUAAAAGCUUAUGCUGGAGCUUGGUUAGGAUGGUGGCACAAAAUUUGAUGCAAUUGAAAGCAAGAUUCAAUAAUGUCGGAAAAGAUUCACAAAUUUGCAAAUGCAAUAAGUAGAUCAAGCAAGUAGGGGUACACGGAAACACACACGCAAAUAGAUAAAUGGGAUUGUACAAACCAAAAGUGAGCCAAAAUGUGGAAUCCACGAAAAUGCUCUUGUUGCACGAUACUAGAGAGACGCUAGCACGAUUGUAGAAUAGGCGGAUACGGAGCUUGUGCACAACCUACUAGGCAAAAAUGCAACGAUCUCUAUCCCAAGUAUGCUAUAUGUAUGGUAUUUCGGUGCUAUGAUCCAAGAUGAUCUUAUGUGACAAUCUUAAUGUAGUAUGAUGCUAUGGUUCUUGCUUAUAAGCUCUUUGCUUAUCUUUUCUCUUUGGUUAAAAGCUUGGGUGGCUCUUUCACUUUUGAGCUCUUUUCUCAUGCAAAACUUCACGAACCAAGAUAGCAAUUGUGUAUGCUAUGACAACUUUGUGGCACACAAGUUGAUUCCAAGAUAUGCACCACGGUGUUAUGGUAUGUAUGCUAUGGAGUAUGAUCACUAAUGUGCACAAGUCACGUUUCCGGCAAUACUCAAUGGCUAGUCUCGAUGGGUAAGCUACACAAAAGUAAGGCCAUGUGGGGUAUCAAUGCAAUUGCAAGUUAUGACAAAGAUGUCGUCGAAGUUACCGUCCUUGGCGAUGUUGAGUAGUCGAUGGAGGUGAGCGGUGGUGAUGGUGACAUCGAACCGUACCUAUAUAGCCGAAACACAAUAGGACACGGGAACCACAACUCAAAAUUUCAAAGACCAAAACGUGUCAAAAUCGACAUAGGAGGUAGCUGUGAGCGGUGGUGGUGUUUGUGGAAACGUUGGGAGUUUGGGGAAGUAAGCGUGGGUACCGGGGCAAAAUUGGGGGAAAGUAUGCGGAAAAGGGCGUGGGGGUGGAGUUGCUGCUUCCAGGGGCCGGAUGUCCGGGGCGCCGGAUGUCCGGUGGACACGGGGCGGAUGUCCGGGCUCUGGAUCGGGGACGAACACGAUGAACUCCACGGGGAAAAUUGCAACUUCGGGGUAAAAUUCGGACAAAUUGGUGGAUGGAAAAGGGUAGGGAGGGUGGGGAAAGCUAGAUCCACACGCAGCAACACAAAUCCAUGGACCAAAUCCAACCAAAUUUCCUCACACCAACAAAUCACAAAAAAAAUUUGGGGCUAUUUUUGGUGGGGAUUUUUGGAUUUAGGACGAAAACAACAAAAUCAAGCUAGAAAACAUGGGGUAGGGACUCCAAAAACGUGAUCAACGUGGCUCAUGAUACCAAGAUGAUGUAGGGCGGAACCCUAUGGAAUCGAUCUUUCACGUUUGGAGUGGAUCCUACGGGGAAUCACAAAGAACAUGCGGAAAACACAAGGGGAAACACGGGGAGAAACAAGAGAAUCACUCAACCGACAAGUAUCGAUCACACAAGGGCUAGAUCACCGAACACAUAGGGUAGCACGAGAUUCGAAAUCAACAAAGGAAAGAUACACGAGUAGCCGUUCUUCUCCAUGAGGAGGUCUUGAUGGUCUUCCCUUGAAGGGGUCUUGAAUCCGCUUGGGGGAUCUUCUCCGAAGAGGUCGUGAGCUCCGAGGAGAACUAUCCAAGUGGAUGAGCAAGGCUCUCACACAAAUAUGAGCUAAACCAAUGCUAACCCUAGAAAGAGGAAGGGGAAGGAGUAUAUAUAGUCUAGGGGGGCAAAGAGGUACAUGGGCUUCGGCCCUUUACUAUGCGUAGACAGGCGGGGCCAGAUGUCCGGGCGUCGGGCCGGAUGUCCGGGCCUUCCGGAGGGGCCGGAUGUCCGGGCCAAGUCGCCGGAUGUCCGAGCUGGAGGCGAUAGCUUCUGUAGUUCCUGGAGCGUGGCGCCGGAUUUCCGGGACUUUUGCCGGAUUUCCGUGCUGUGGCCGGAUGUCCGGGCCGGACAUCGUCCGGCCCUGUAGACUUGGCCAGCUCGGCUGUUGUUGAUGGAGACGCUCCAGGGGCCGGAUGUCCGGUGCCUUGGCCGGAUGUCCAGGGCCUGGAACGUGAACUUGCCCAUUUCAGUUGGUUCUCUUCAUCCGUGGAGUUGGCGGCUUGUCCGUCUUCACGUGCAUCCUCGGGAGGUUCCUCUUGACACCUAAUCAUGCAUAGUAUAUCGGAUUUAGGUAGUAGCCAUGUCUCGAGUGGAUCAUAUGUGAUAUCACUAAGGAGAGAAGUCACCUCGGUCUUGAGAGUUCGAGCUCAUGCUCUAGUCAUGGGUCCUCUUGGUGCUUGGUGAGGCGACGGAAGGUCCAUGGGGAUGACCGAAGGAUGCUCCGCAUCACUUGUUCUUCGAUUGCUCGCAGGAAAUAGACCCUCGUUGAUGAGGACAUCAAUACCAUUGUUACACCCACAGCCCCUACGGCUACAUAUAAUGGACCAAUUACUAGAGCUCGCGCACGCCAAUUAAAUUAUCAGGUACUUUCGUUUCUUGGUAAUGAUUCUAAUGUUCAUGAGAAUAUGAUGCUGCCUAAAUUGGAUACAUUUGUUUUGCUUACAAAUGAAGGGCCUAGCUUGGAGAAGGAUGGACAUUGGAGCACGAACAAGAACGGAGUUACAAGUGAUGAUUUCAGGACUUUGAAGCCACCAUAAUGGGUGCAUGAAGCCUUGGACGAAAUAUACAAGAUGCCACUUCAUAAAUUGCGUCCCGAGGCUAUUCUAGGUGUUGUGUCAUCUUAUUAUUGGGUCAGGCCCAUGUAAUUUCGAAAUACAUAAGUAUAGGCUGUUUUUAGAGUCUGUAUGUGUGGGGAAACAAGAGAUAGGGUUGAUUUCGGACCCCUCCACCAAGGGCCACGAAAUUCCCCCCUCUUCCUUCAUAUAUAUAGCCCUUAGGGCACCGUUUAGACUUUGGGUUUUGUUUAGAUUAAAGUUCGCCAUAGCUGCAACUUCGCGUACUUCGUUUGUGUUCAACGACCAGACAAAGGCGUCACAGAACCCCACCUUGAUCAAUAAAGCUUUCAUCUUAUAUUCGCAAUAUCCAGAUUGCAAUCUCAGUUUCUUGCUUGUUCUUCGUUUGCUCGCAGGAAACAGAACCUCGUGGUCAGGUUGAUCGUGCUCCGGCGUGGUCAAUAACCUCUCGGAGUUGGUUUAGCGAUUGCUAAGGCGCGAUGUCCUCGCACGUUCGUAGUCGGAUCAUCAAAGUUGACUUCCACCAAAGCGAUAUCCAUCAUCUCAUCGAAAGACGGGACACCUUUGCCUCUAUCAAGUGGUAUCAGAUUCCAGGUUGGUCGGUGAGAUUUUAUAGUUUUUCGUAGUUUAGAUCGAGUCUGUUCUUCAUACCUAUAGUCCAUGAAAAUGCCAAAAAAAAUUAGGGUUAGUUCAUCCCAUCCGAACCAAUCUGAGCCGUUGCAUAAUCUUUUCUGUAUUUGCUUUGUUGAAUUUGCGGUUGCAUCGUCGUGUCAAGUUGCUGGUCUUAGCGUCUAGUCCUUUAGAGUUUCGAGUUCUGUUCACAGGUUGUCACGUCGCCGCUGCCAUAUAUCACCACCGCAUCAUCAUCGUCGUUGCUGCCUUAUACCACCACCACAUAUUCACCGCCAAUCCGAGUCCAUAUACGCCACCACAUAUCCGCCACCAUCACACCAAUCCGAGUCCACCUGCAACAUAUAUCCGCCACCAGUCCGAGUUCCACAAGAUUCAUCUCCGCCACCAGUCCUAGUUCCACCAGUUUCAUCUCCGCCACCAGUCCUAUUCCGAGUCCAGUAUUUUGUUACUCUGUUUUGGAUUUCCAGAUCACGUCAUACUCUGAGUUGUUACAGAAAAGGACUCCCCAACUUCCGUGCUACCCGUAGUAGAGAAAUAGUUCCAAACUCAAAAAAAAACUAAGUCUGGAAAAUUCUGGCAAGGCAGUUUUUAGACCAUAUGUAGACUUUUUCGAAAAAAAUUCGGUGCGGAGCAAAAAAAAGAGGAAAAAAGAAGUGCAGAAAAGGGAAAAAAAGAGAAAAAAAAUUCCGAGUGUGCUCCUCCCUUGUUUACGUGCCGCGCCGUGAUUUUGUUGGUGUUCUAGGCUCGCGUCUCUAGCACAGUCUAGCCUAGGACCAGCACAGUACCGUCGUUGAGCGUUUAUUCAACUUUGCAUCUCUGAAUUGAUUAUUGCUGACCCUUUUUGCUACCAUAUUAUAAGCCUUCCCAGCUCCACAGACAUCUACGUCGUGCGUUUGACUCUCCCUGGUAAUUGCUCUAUCCAAACUUUGAGUGUUUUGACUACAAUGGUUGCCGAUCACCGCCUGCUGCUGGGUAAGAACUGGUAAGAAUUUGAGAUUUGCUUGACGGAUUUGUGACACCCACCAACACCUCUUGUUAGUAGUCUGUAGGAUCAUAUUCUUGUGUGUUUCUAUUGCUGCUAACUGAUGAGGACAUGGCUACCACAGUUACACCUAUAUCCCCCACUGUUUUACCUCUUGGAACAGUUGCUAGAGCUCAGAUACGCCAAUUAAAUUAUCAGGUACUUCCGUUUCUUGGUAAUGUUUCUAACGUUCAUGAGAAUAUGAUGCUGCCUAACAUAGAUACAUUUGUGUUGCUUGCAACUAAAGGGCCUAGCACGGACAAGAAGGUUGAACAUUGGAGCAUGGUCAAGCACGGAGAUGAAGGUGCGUGCGAAGAGAACAAGAACGGAGGUUCAAGUGGAGAUUUCCGGACUUUGAAGCCACCAUGAUGACAUACAAGAUGGUGGACGAAAUAUACAAGACGGCCAUUCAUAAAUUUCGUCCAUAGCUUAUUAUUGGUGUUGCGCCACCUUAUUUUGGGCUAGGCCCAUGUAAUAUAUUUUUAGAGUCCAAAUUGUAGGGAAAACGACUUAGGAGGUGUUUUAGUCCCACCUUGCCAAGGAUGGACAAAAUCCCCUCUCUUUUCCCUAUAAAUAUAGCCCUUAAGGCAUCGUUUAGACUUGGGUUUUAUUUAGUUAAAAGUUAGCCAUAGAUGCAACUUCGUGUACUUCGUUUGUGUCCAACGACCAGACCAAGACCGCUUAUGAAACCCCACUUUUAUCAAUACUUCAUCCAUACUCGCAAUAUCCAGAUUGCUUAAUCAUAUUCUUGCUUGUUCUUCGAUUGCUUGCAGGAAUAGACCUUCGUGGUCAGGUUGAUCGUGCUCCAGCGUGGUCAAUAACCUCUCGGAGUUGGUUUAGCGAUUGCUAAGGCGCAACGUCGUGCACGUUUGUAGUCGGAUCAUCAAAGUCGUCUCCACAAAAUCGAUAGUUAUCAUCUCAUUGAAAGAUCGGGACACCCCGCCUCUAUCAAGUGGUAUCAGUUUCCAGGUUGCUCGGUGAGAUUCUCCAGUUUUUCGUAGUCUAGAUUGCAUCUGUUCUUCAUACCAAGAGUCCAAGAAAAGCCAAAAAAAGUUAGAUUAGUUCAUCCGUGUCCCAGACAGUCUGAGCCUUUCGCCAUUAUCACUUAGUUUUUGUUUUGUUGAAUUUUCGAUUACAUCGUGUGUCGAGUCGCUGGUUUUAGUGUCUAGUCUUUUAGAGUUUCGAGUUCUAGUCACAUUUUAUUCACGUCGCAUCCGCUCACACCAUCGUCCACUUCAUUGUGAUGUUUCUUUGCCCCUAAUUUUGUUCGCCACUAUUGUCGCUAUCACCACCAUUCAUCCGCUGUUGGCGUUCAUCGCUGUCUUGGAGCAUCAUUCAUCUCGAGGAGAGAAACAAUUGAGAAAUUUUUUGAUAGAGGCAAAGGUGUCCCGUCUUUCGAUGAGAUGAUGGAUAUCGCUUUGGUGGAAAUCGACUUUGACGAUCCGACUACGAACGUGCGAGGACGUCGCGCCUUAGCAAUCGCUAAACCAACUCCGAGAGGUUGUUGGCCACGCCGGAGCACGAUCAACCUGACCACGAGGGUCUGUUUCCUGCAAGCAAACGAAGAACAAGCAAGAAACUAAGAUUGCAAUCUGGAUAUUGCGAAUAUAAGAUGAAAGCUUUAUUGAUCAAGGUGGGGUUCUGCGACGCCUUUGUCUGGUCGUUGAACACAAACGAAGUACGCGAAGUUGCAGCUAUGGCGAACUUUAAUCUAAACAAAACCCAAAGUCUAAACGGUGCCCUAAGGGUUGUAUAUAUGGAGGAAGAGAGGGGGAAUUUCAUGGCCCUUGGUGGAGGGGUCCGAAAUCAGCCCUAUCUCUUGUUUCCCCACACAUACGGACUCUAAAAAUAGCCUAUACUUAUGUAUUUCGAAAUUACAUGGGCCUGGCCCAAUAAAAAGGUGACGCAGCACCUAUAAUAGCCUCUGGACGAAAUUUAUGAAGUGACAUCUUGUAUAUUUCGUCCAAGGCUUCAUGCACUCGUUAUGGUGGCUUCAAAGACCUGAAAUCAUCACUUGUAACUCUGUUCUUGUUCCCCUUGCACAUGCCAUCAUCUCCAUGCUUGUUCUUGCUCCAAUGUUCAUCCUUCUCCAAGCUAGGCCCUUCAUUUAUAAGCAAAACAAAUGUAUCCAAUUUAGGCAGCAUCAUAUUCUCAUGAACAUUAGAAUCAUUACCAAGAAAUGAAAGUACCUGGUAAUUUAGUUGGCCUGCGCGAGCUCUAGUAAUUGUUCCAGUAUGUAUAGUAGCAGGGGCUGUGGGUGUAACAAUGGUAUUGAUGUCCUCAUCAAAUUUCAAGCAAAAAAGAAAUCUUUUUGGCGAAUAUUGAUCCCGUAGGUGCUUUUGGAGAGCGAGACCAAGAGAUAAAAGAAUCCAGAUUUGUUUGAUCCACGAGGCAAAAAAAACCAGGAAGGAAAGGGCACUUGCAUUGGAGUUUGGAUCUUGACAAAAAAAAAGGAAAAGAGGGAGUUGUGUCACGUGAGGAAGGUCUAAAGAGAGUACAAGGGCGUUCGGAAAGCUGUGCUGCCAAGAAAAGUACUAACCAUCACGUCACCUGCUCCUUGGAGAUCGCAACAAAAAAAAUAGAGCAAAAAAAGGGACAUGAGGAUCUAUUCAGAACGGAAAGAGAGAGAGUUUGUUGGAAAGUUUGGAUAUUCUUUUAUUUCGAAUCAACUCUCAGGAAAAUAGAUCAGACCGAAUCCUUCUUGAAAGGCAACUUGGAUCAGCCGCAUAAAAAAAAGAAGGAACAAUAUUUCGUUUGGAUCUUUGAGAAAAAUCAAUAAGAAAAGUUUGAGCGUCCAAAAAAAAAAGGAUUACAGAUCCGUACUAGUUUCCCUUUAAAUCAGCACUAGGAUGUUGCUGAUUUGGAAAGCUAGAUUCGUGGCUAUCCUUUGAGAUAUUUGCCACGUUUUUGAAUUUGGCAAGAAAUAAAAGAGCAAGUAAUCACGUUUCGCUUGGUAAGGAAAGUGCUAAUCGGUUUUUGUUUGAAAGGAUCUUGAUGAUUGAGUCAAAAGAGAGAGAAAAAGGCAAGUAAGAUCAGCCAUAAAAAACGUGAAGAGUGCCUAGUUUGAGGCUGUUCACGUCAGGUUUGGAAGGUGCUAAAAACAGAAUCAUUUUUUAUUGAAAGGCAACUGGUAAUCGGUCUGGUUGGCAGCCAAUUUUGUUGGGCAGUUCGCUAUUAAAAAAAUAUACAAGGAAGGGCGUGAAUUGUGUGCUACUAUUUGGAAAGUAAUACGCAAAAAAAGAAUAGAUUUGGCAUCUUCGGAUCUGGGUAUCCUACUGUCGAACGUUGAUGUUUUAAAAGCAGGAGCAAAAUCCAUUACGGGAGAAGUGGAGAUCGCAGCAAAAAAAGAAAGGAGAGAAGAAAACGUUUACAAGAAAAGUGUGAGCGCUUGAUCCUUUUUUGAGUUGAGAGAAGAAGGAAAGAGUUUGGUUCGCCAGGAAAUAAAAAGCAAAACGUGAGGGAGAGAUUGACUUUGAGAAAAGGGAUUUAAAAGGAAAGAGAAGGCGCAGAUUAGCUCUCAUGGAAAUCCCGAAAUAAUAGGCUGGGAUUUUUUUUUCUCGCUCAGUUUAAAAGAAGGAAACAAGAAAAGGGCGUUACAUCCGGAUUGGAUUUUUUUUCGGAGAGAGAAGGCAUUUCUUAAGAGAAAGAGUGAGUUUUAAAAAAAAGUGCGGAGAAAAAAAAGCAAGAGAGAAGUUCGCUGGGUGCAACACCUGAGGGAAACAAGUUUGAGGUUAAAAAAAAUAGUGGAGAGAGCAGCAACACCGAAUAUUUGGAGAAAUCAUACAUGCUAGUAGUUCUAGCUUGACGAGUUAAUUUGGUACGAUCGGCUGAAGAAAAAAAGGAGGGAUUACCUGGUGGUAGAAGAGAAGAGAUAUACUGGUGCUAGUACUUCCUGGUUGUUGUGUCGCUCAUAAGUUUUGUUGCAUCUUGCGUUUGCACGUGAAUUUCACUUGUGUCUUAGGCUCGCGUCUCUAGCACAGUCUAGCCUAGGACCAGCACUCGACCACUUUGAACGGAUUUUCAGCUUGCAUUAAUUCAUGUGGUUGUAGCAUUUUUUCCACAUACAUAAAGAUAACCUAGCUCCACAUAUUUCUACACCGUGCAUUUUUUCCGCCUUUGCUAGCCUCUUCGGUACCGUGCAUUGCCCUUUCUCACCUUGAGAGUUGGUGCAAACUUCGCUGGUGCAUCCAAACCCCGUGAUACGAUAUGCUCUAUCACACAUAAACCUCCUUAUGUCUUCCUCAAAACAGCCACCAUACCUACCUAUCAUGGCAUUUUCAUAGCCAUUCCGAGAUAUAUUGACAUGCAACUUCCACCAUCAUCAUCGUGACAUGCAUUACUUUUGUCAUAUUGCCAUUGCAUGAUCUUGUAGUUGACAUCGUAUUUGUGGAAAAGCCACCAUGCAUUAUUUUACAUGCAUGUCACUCUUGAUUCAUUGCACCAUCCCGGUACACCGUCGGAGGCAUUUAUAUAGAGUCAUAUCUUGUUCUAGUAUCGAGUUGUAAUCCUUAUGUUGUAAUCUAUAGAAGUGGGAUGAUCAUCAUUAUUAGAGCAUUGCCCAAAACAAGAGAAAGGCCAAAAAAGAGAAAGGCCCAAAAAAAUAAUAUAAAAAGGGCAAUGCUACUAUCUCUUUUUCCACACUUGUGCUUCAAAGUAGCACCUUGUUCUUCAUGUAGUGAGUCUCAUAUAUUGUGCUUUAAAGUAGCACCUUGUUCUUCAUGUAGUGAGUCGCAUAUAUUGUGCUUCAAAGUAGCACCAUGUUUUUCAUAUAGUGAGUCUCAUAAGUUGUCUUGUUAAUACUAGUGGGAAUUUUUCAUUAUAGAACUUGGCUUGUAUAUUCCUACGAUGGGCUUCCUCAAAAUGCCCUAGGUCUUCAUGAGCAAGCAAGUUGGAUGCACACCCACUAGUUUUCUUUUGUUGAGCAUUCAUAGCUCUAGUGCAUCUGUUGCAUGGCAAUACCUACUCCUUGCAUUAACAUCAAUCGAUGGGCAUCUCCAUAGCUCAUUGAUUAGCCUCGUUGAUGUGAGACUUUCUCCUUUUUUUUCUUCUCCACACAAUCCCCAUCAUCAUAUUCCAUUCCACCCGUAGUGCUAUAUCCAUGGUUCACGCUCAUGUAUUGCGUGAAGGUUGAAAAAGUUUGAGAUUAUUUAAGUAUGAAACAACUUCUUUGCUUGUCAUUGGGGGUAUAGAAGUUGGGAACAUCUUUGUGUGACGAAAAUGAAGCAUAGCCUAACUAUAUGAUUUUUUAGGGAUGAACUUUCUUUUGCCAUGUUAUUUUGAGAAGACAUGAUUGCUUUGAUUAGUAUGCUUGAAGUAUUAUUAUUUUUGUGUCAAUAUGAACUUUUGUCUUGAAUCUUUCGGAUCUGAAUAUUCAUAUCACAAGUAAGAAGAAUUACAUUGAAAUUAUGCCAAGUAGCACUCCGCAUCAAAAAUUCUUUUUUAUCAUUUACCUACUCGAGGACGAGCAGGAAUUAAGCUUGGGGAUGCUUGAUACGUCUCCAACGUAUCUAUAAUUUUUGAUUGCUCCAUGCUACUUUAUCUACUGUUUUAGGCAAUAUUGGGCUUUAUUAUCCACUUUUAUAUUAUUUUUGGGACUAACCUAUUAACCGGAGGCCCAGCCCAGAUUUGCUGUUUUAUGCCUAUUUCAGUGUUUCGAGGAAAAGGAAUAUCAGACAGAGUCAAAACGGAACGAAAUCAACUAGAGAAGUUAAUUUUGGAAGGAAACCAACCUGAUGGGCUUGGAGUGCACGCCAAGGGAGUCCCGGGCUGCCCACGAGGGUGGAGGGUGCGCCCUCCCCCCUGGGCGCGCCCCCCUACCUCGUGAGCAGCCCAGAGGUCCACCGACGUACCCCCUGCACCCAUAUAUACCCACGUACCCUAAAACUUCCAGAACAGAAGAUAGAUCGGGAGUUUCGCCGCCGCAAGCCUCUGUAGCCACCAAAAACCAAUCGGGACCCUGUUUCGGCACCCUGCCGGAGGGGGAUCCCAUCACCGGUGGCCAUCUACAUCAUCCCGGCACUAUCCAUGACGAGGAGGGAGUAGUUCACCCUCGGGGCUGAGGGUAUGUACCAGUAGCUAUGUGUUUGACCUCUCUCUCUCUCGUGUUCUUGAGGUGAUACGAUCUUGAUGUAUCCCGAGCUUUGCUAUUGUAGUUGGAUCUUAUGAUGUUUCUCCCCCUCUACUCUCUUGUGAUGAAUUGAGUUUCCCCUUUGAAGUUAUCUUAUCGGAUUGAGUCUUUAUAAGAACACUUGAUGCAUGUCUUGCCGUGAUUAUCUGUGGUGACAAUGGGAUAUCAUGUGCCACUUGAUGUAUGUUUUGGUGAUCAACUUGCGGGUUUCGUGACAUUGGGAACCUAUGCAUGGGGGUUGGCACACGUUCUUGACUCUCCGGUAGAAACUUUGGGGCACUCUUUGAAGUACUUUUAUGUUGGUUGGAUGAAUCUGAGAUUGUGUGAUGCAUAUCGUAUAAUCAUGCCCACGGAUACUUGAGGUGACAAUGGAGUAUCUAGGUGACAUUAGGGUUUUGGUUGAUUUGUAUCUUAAGGUGUUAUUCUAGUACGAACUCUUUUAUAGAUCUAUCCGAAAGAAUAACUUUGAGGUGGUUUUGUACCCUACCAUAAUCUCUACGUUUGUUCUCCACUAUUAGUGGCUUCGGAGUGACUCUUUGUUGCAUGUUGAGGGCUUGUUAUAUGAUCUAUCUAUGUUAUUAUUGUUGAGAGAACUUGCACUAGUGAAAGUAUGAACCCUAGGCCUUGUUUCCUAUCAUUGCAAUACCGUUUACGCUCACGUUUAUCACUUGUUACCUUGUUGUUUUUAUUAUUUCAGAUUACAAAUACCUUCAUCUACCAUCCAUAUUGCACUUGUAUCACCAUCUCUUCGCCAAACUAGUGCACCUAUACAAUUUGCCAUUGUAUUGGGUGUGUUGGGGACACAAGAGACUUUUUGUGAUUUGGUUGAAGGGUUGUUUGAGAGAGACCAUCUUCAUCCUACGCCUCCUACGUAUUGAUAAACCUUAGGUCAUCCACUUGAGGGAAAUUUGCUACUGUCCUACAAGCAUGUGCACUUGCAGGCCCAACAACGUCUACAAGAAGAAGGUUGUGUAGUAGACAUCACUGAUGCGGAGGAGGAUGAUUAUGUGGGAGAUUACAAGGAUGAGGUUGAUCAAAAUCAGAACUACGUGCAACCACCUGCACCACAACCACCAGGUUGUCCACAUGCAAAUAAUCACAAUGGUAGGGCUCUCCCUCAGGUACAAGAUCAUGACCAUCUUCAUGAACUGAAAUUGAAUAUUCCACCAUUUGAGGGUAGAUAUGUUCCCGAUAUAUAUCUUACUUGGGAGUUAGAAACUGAACAACGAUUUACAUGUUCACAAUAUCCUGAGGAGAGACAGGUUGCCGCUGCUAUUUGUGCUUUCACUAGUUUUGCAUGUGUAUGGUGGUCUGAACAUUGUAGAUUAUAUCCUAUUCCAACUACUUAGGCUGCUUUGAAAACUGCUAUGCGUACUCGUUGGGUUCCACCAUAUUAUCAACGUGAAUUGCUUCAAAAAUUGCAGCAUUUAAGACAAGGGAAAAAUUCUGUAGAAGAAUAUUAUCAGGAAUUACAAACUGGCAUGAUUAGAUGUGGUAUUGUUGAGAAGAAUGAAGCUAUGCUUGCACGUUUUAUGGGUGGAUUAAAUAGAGAGAUUCAGACCAUUCUAGAGUAUAGGAAGUAUACUAAUAUCACUCGUUUAUUCCAUCUUGCUUGCAAAGCUGAACGUGAAGUACAGGAUCGACAAGCAUUGGUGCGAACUAACUUUUCUGCAGGCCGACCUUCAUCAUGGACACCGCGUGCAUCUUCUACUUCCACUGCACUAGCACCUCUGUCAGGUGCCACCUACAGUCGUGAUACAAGAAAGCACGCACAACCACCAUUAUCUGCCAAGAGCGCACCUGCCGGGCCUCCACAGAGUUCUUCUUCUUCCAUGGCAUCAACAGGGAACACAAGGGAUAUUAUUUGUCGUCGUUUUAAGGGAAUAGGUCAUUAUGCGAGAGAAUGCAAAUCUCAGCGUGUGAUGAUUGCUACUGAGGAUGGUGGGUAUGAGUCCGCUAGUGACUAUGAUAAGGAGACUUUGGCUCUUAUUACACGUGAAGAACAUGGUGGAGAUGAUUCUGAUCAUGAGACGCAAUACAUGGCUCCUGAAGACGCUGACAGGUAUGAAUGUUUAUUUGCUCAAUGUGUUUUGAGUGUGCAGGUCACACAAGCUGAGAAAAAUCAGAGGCACAAUUUGUUCCAUACAAAGGGAGUUGUGAAAGAACGUUCUGUGCACGUCAUCAUAGACGGUGGGAGCUGCAACAACUUGGCUAGCAUGGAGAUGGUGGAGAAGCUUUCUCUCACCACAAGACCACAUCCACGUCCUUACUACAUCCAAUGGUUCAACAAUAGCGGCAAGGUUAAGGUAACACGUACUGUUCGUGUGCAUUAUAGUAUCUCUACAUAUGCUGAUUAUGUUGAUUGUGAUGUGGUACCUAUGCAAGCAUGUUCCUUAUUACUUGGUAGACCAUGGCAAUUUGAUAAAAAUUCUGUACACCAUGGUAGAAACAAUCAUUAUACUCUUGUUCAUAAGGAUAAAAAUAUUACUUAGCUUCCUAUGACUCCUGAUUCCAUUUUGAAAGAUGAUAUUAAUAGAGCUAAUAAAGGAAAAUAGGAGAAAAAUAAGAGUGAAAAUCAGAUUGUGGCAAAGGAAUUUGAGCAACAAAUGAAGCCUAAUAGUAAACCAUCUAGUGUUGCUUCUGAAAUUAAAUUGAAAAGUGCAUGUUUACUUGCCAUUAAAUCUGAUAUUGAUGAGCUAGAUUUCAGCAAAUCUGUUUGCUAUGCUUUUGUGUGCAAAGAUGCAUUAUUUUCAUUCGAGGACGUGCCUUCCUCUUUGCCUCCUGCUGUCACUAACAUUUUGCAGGAGUUCGCUGACGUCUUUCCACAAGACGUGCCACCGGGAUUACCUCCCAUUCGAGGGAUUGAGCAUCAGAUUGACUUAAUUCCCGGUGCAUCAUUACCCAACCGUGCACCGUACCGUACCAAUCCAGAGGAGACGAAGGAGAUUAUGCGUCAAGUACAGGAGCUGCUCGACAAAGGUUAUAUACGCGAAUCCCUUAGUCCUUGUGCCGUUCCUAUUAUUCUAGUGCCGAAAAAGGAUGGUACAUCACGUAUGUGUGUUUAUUGUAGAGGCAUUAAUAAUAUUACUAUUCGUUAUCGUCAUCCUAUUCCUAGGCUAGAUGAUAUGCUUGAUGAAUUGAGUGGCUCUACAAUAUUCUCCAAAGUUGAUUUGCAUACUGGAUACCAUCAAAUUCGUAUGCAAUUGGGAGAUGAAUGGAAAACAACAUUUAAAACUAAGUUUGGAUUAUAUGAGUGGUUAGUCAUGCCUUUUGGGUUAACUAAUGCACCUAGUACUUUCAUGAGAUUAGUGAACGAAGUUUUACGUGCUUUCAUUGGACGAUUUGUGGUAGUUUACUUUGAUGACAUAUUGAUUUAUAGCAGAUCUUUGGAAGAACAUUUGGAACAUUUACGUGCUGUUUUUAUUGCUGUACGUGAUGCACGUUUGUUUGGUAACCUUGGGAAGUGCACCUUUUGCACCGACCGAGUAUCUUUUCUUGGCUAUGUUGUUACUCCACAGGGAAUUGAAGUUGACAAAGCCAAGAUUGAAGCUAUUGAGAGUUGGCCGCAGCCCAAAACGGUCACACAAGUGAGGAGUUUUCUUGGCCUCGCUGGAUACUAUAGGCGUUUUGUGAGAGAUUUCAGCACCAUUGCUGCACCUCUCAACGAGCUUACAAAGAAGGAUGUACCUUUUGUUUGGGGUACCGCACAGGAAGAAGCCUUCACGGUAUUGAAAGUAAGUUGACACAUGCUCCUUUACUCCAACUUCCUGAUUUUAAUAAGACUUUUGAGCUUGAAUGUGACGCUAGUGGAAUUGGAUUAGGAGGUGUGUUAUUAAAAGAUGGCAAACCUGUUGCAUACUUUUCUGAAAAAUUGAGUGGGCCUAGUAUGAAUUAUUCUACUUAUGAUAAAGAAUUAUAUACUCUUGUUUGGACUUUAGAAACAUGGCAACAUUAUUUAUGGCCCAAAGAAUUUGUUAUACAUUAUGAUCAUGAAUCUUUGAAACAUAUUAAAAGUCAAGUUAAACUGAAUCGUAGACAUGCUAAAUGGGUUGAAUUCAUUGAGACUUUCCCCUAUGUCAUUAAACACAAGAAUGGUAAAGAAAAUGUUAUUGCAGAUGCAUUGUCUCGUCGCUAUACUAUGCUUUCACAACUUGACUUCAAAAUAUUUGCUUUGGAGACCAUCAAAGAUCAAUAUGUGCAUGAUGCCGAUUUUAAAGAUGUAUUGCAGAAUUGUAAAGAAGGAAGAACAUGGAACAAGUUUGUCGUUAAUGAUGGAUUUGUGUUCCGUGCUAACAAGCUAUGCAUUCCAGUUAGCUCCGUUCGUCUUUUGUUGUUGCAGGAGGCGCAUGGAGGAGGACUAAUGGGACACUUUGGCAUGAAGAAGACGGAGGACGUACUUGCUACACAUUUCUUUUGGCCAAAGAUGAGACGGGAUGUUGAGCGUUUUAUUGCUCGCUGCAUUACAUGUCAAAAAGCUAAGUCACGACUCAAUCCUCAUGGUUUAUAUAUGCCUUUGCCUGUACCUAGUGUUCCUUGGGAGGAUAUAUCUAUGGACUUUGUUUUAGGUUUACCUAGAACAAAGAAGGGGAGGGAUAGCAUAUUUGUUGUCGUGGAUAGAUUCUCGAAAAUGGCACACUUUAGACCAUGUCAUAAAAGCGAUUAUGUUGUUAAUGUUGCUGAUUUGUUCUUUCGUGAAAUUAUUCGCUUGCAUGGUGUGCCACAUACUAUUGUUUCAGAUCGUGAUACUAAAUUUCUUAGCCACUUUUGGAGAUGUUUAUGGGCUAACUUGGGGACUAAACUGCUUUUUAGUACUACUUGUCACCCCCAAACUGAUGGACAAACUGAAGUAGUCAAUAGAACAUUGUCUACUAUGCUUAGGGCUGUUUUGAAGAAUAAUAAGAAAAUGUGGGAGGAAUGCUUGUGAUGCGAAGCAUCCUAUGGACAUCACCAUGUCAAGAGUCCAUUUGGCAAGUGACACGUGCCACAUCUACUUCAUGCAUACAAAGGUGAAUCAUCUUCUUUACACGUGUCCACUUGUACCCUUCGAGGAUGGUAUACUACUUGACCCCUCUCUCGUGUGCAUACUUAGGUGUGAGCGGAGCUACACAUUCAUCACGAAGGAGUCCAAGCGCAAUAGAACAACUACACCAGCCAAGACGGAAGCCUGGAAGCGGAGAAGGAAGCACCAAGAAGAAGGCAGCAGCUCCCAGGCGACCCCGUGCUCACGGGCCCCUCCGACCCCGUGCCCACGGGCCUCCCAGGCUGGCGGUCCUGAAGACCCCAUGCGCACGGGCGUGUACCGUGCCCACGGGGCCCCCGUGUCAACGGGCCUCACGGACCCCGUGCGCACGGGCCCUUGCGUCCGGUCCCUGGAUACCCCGUGCGCAUAGGCUCCACUUACCCCGUGCACACGGGGCCCCCUGUGUGAUGCUGCGGGCUUUGCCCAUGUUUUACCAUUUCGCCCCCACUUAUCCCUCUCUUUGCCUAGGACUAUAUAUACUCCUUCAUCUCCUCCAUUUAGACUAAGCUAAGAUUAGAUCAAAACACUAGAGCUUAGCUCAUGUACCUCCCCUUGUGGGAUUUCUCUUGAGAGAGAGACACACUCCAUUGGAGUUCGAGGCCUCCAUUGGAGAAGAUCCCUAGUGGAUGAAGACCCCCUUGAGGGAAGGAUCUAUCUAGAUCAUCAAGCCAUCAUCUCCUUCAUAGGAUUUGGGAUGAACUCUACCAUGUAUCUUAUUUCCCUUUGAUUGUUCAUGUACCUUGUGGAUCUUGUGUGUUUGAUUGUCUAGUGGAUGUGUGAUUUGACUUGUUCUUGAGUGUUCCUCUUGUCUUCCCUAUUUUGUUCAUCUUAUUCUUGGGGAUUCCCCCUCCAAUUCGUGAAAGUUUUCCCCAUAGGGUUCCACCCUACAUCAUCUUGGUAUCAUGAGCCAUGGUUUCUCAAGAAAUUGGAGACCCCCUCUUUCUUUUCUAGCCUAAUUUUGCUUGUUCUUGCCCAAUUUCAAAAAUUCCCCAUAAAAAGAGCCAUAUCAUUUUUUUGUGAUUUGAAGUUUUUGUGAGUUUUUGUUGAUUUUGAUCCAUGGAUCUGAUGUAUAGCAAGUAGAUCUACCCCCGCUUGCGUCCCCAUACCCCAAUUUUUCUUCCCACCUUCGAAUUUGACAAGAAAAUCGCGAAAUUUCCGCCUACCCCAUGCCCACGGGCUCCCCACCCCGUGCCCACGGGCCUCCCCGAAGUCCCUGGAGACCCCCUGUCCUCGGUACGUGUACCGUGUGCAUGGGACCCCAUGUCCACGGGCACUGGACCCCGUACGCACGGCCCCCCUACAGCAUCCGCGAGUACUUCACCGUUUUGGCCGUAACUCUCGCAUCCGAACUCCGAUUUGGGUGUUCUUUGGCUCGUUGAAAAGCUAGCGACGUGCCCGAGCUGCUCAUCUUGGUUUUAGCACCAUUUGACUCCAUCAAAUUUUGUCCAUUUUGCAUCUUUUGCAUUGGCCCUCCGCCAUAACUUUCGCACCACCACAUAAAACUUCCGGAAACUAACCCAUUUUGGUUUCUUUGGUAUUUGUGGUUGUUUGAGUUGUGAUUUGAGUCUCCUAAGGUGUUUCGGCUACUUAGGGACGGUUGCAUCUUCAUCCACCACGAGUGACUUGUAUCGGUCCAUCGACUACAUCCACCACGAGCUUCCACAUCGACGACGACCAUCCAUCCUUUGAGACCAUCUUCAACCGGAAGCAAGGCCGGUUAACCCCGACUUCGUGAAAGGUUAAGUGCGAUGAAGGUAUCCAUUCCGUCAUAAACUUCUCCUUCCUUGCCAUUACAUCUUGAUAGCCCCACCAUCUUUGCGAAUACCUUCAUACCCAUUGAGACUAGCUAUCCGAGUAUUGCCGGGCUUCGCGAAAACUUGUGCACCAUAGUGAUACGAUCGCAUAUUGUUGCAUCAUUGGAUAUAUCAUAUUCUGCCAUUGUUUACUUCCGUGCAUGCCUUGUGAUACUUGUCCCAUAUUUGUGGUUGAGGCUCAUCCAGCAUAGUGGAAAGGAAGAGGAAAGUCAAAAAAAAGAAAGAAAAGCUUUUAAGCAAGAAAGAGAAUGAUCAUAAGCUAAUAAGCAAAGAGUUGAGAAUGAAAGGAGAUACUUGUGCAUGAGGAUACAUGGAAUAGGAAACAUUCUUGUUGCAUACAUAUAGGUUGGUGCCAAGUAG
RNAcentral lists this long non-coding RNA (26274 nucleotides) under Triticum aestivum (bread wheat). Its description in RNAcentral is "long non-coding RNA (TAES_LNC012003)". The record is from RNAcentral. Lineage: Eukaryota; Viridiplantae; Streptophyta; Magnoliopsida; Poales; Poaceae.